This 765-nucleotide ribosomal RNA is filed under the name uncultured beta proteobacterium. Its description in RNAcentral is "bacterial SSU rRNA". It matches the Rfam family "Bacterial small subunit ribosomal RNA", at positions 8 to 775 of the family's 1533-position model. Lineage: Bacteria; Pseudomonadati; Pseudomonadota; Betaproteobacteria. The record is from RNAcentral.
AGAGUUGUAUCCUGGCUCAGAUUGAACGCUGGCGGCAUGCCUUACACAUGCAAGUCGAACGGUAACAGGUCAAGCUGACGAGUGGCGAACGGGUGAGUAAUAUAUCGGAACGUGCCCAGUAGUGGGGGAUAGCCCGGCGAAAGCCGGAUUAAUACCGCAUACGACCUACGGGUGAGAGGGGGGGAUCGCAAGACCUCUCGCUAUUGGAGCGGCCGAUAUCAGAUUAGGUAGUUGGUGGGGUAAAGGCUCACCAAGCCGACGAUCUGUAGCUGGUCUGAGAGGACGACCAGCCACACUGGGACUGAGACACGGCCCAGACUCCUACGGGAGGCAGCAGUGGGGAAUUUUGGACAAUGGGCGCAAGCCUGAUCCAGCCAUGCCGCGUGCAGGAUGAAGGCCUUCGGGUUGUAAACUGCUUUUGUACGGAACGAAAAGGUCUGACCUAAUAAGUUGGGCCCAUGACGGUACCGUAAGAAUAAGCACCGGCUAACUACGUGCCAGCAGCCGCGGUAAUACGUAGGGUGCGAGCGUUAAUCGGAAUUACUGGGCGUAAAGCGUGCGCAGGCGGUUAUGUAAGACAGAUGUGAAAUCCCCGGGCUCAACCUGGGAACUGCAUUAGUGACUGCAUAGCUGGAGUACGGCAGAGGGGGAUGGAAUUCCGCGUGUAGCAGUGAAAUGCGUAGAUAUGCGGAGGAACACCGAUGGCGAAGGCAAUCCCCUGGACCUGUACUGACGCUCAUGCACGAAAGCGUGGGGAGCAAACAG